GGCAGACGGGUGAGUAAUGCGUAGGAAUCUACCUAGUAGUACGGAAUAGCCAUUAGAAAUGGUGGGUAAUACUGUAUAAUCCCCGAGGGGGAAAGAUUUAUCGCUAUUAGAUGAGCCUACGUUAGAUUAGCUAGUUGGUGAGGUAAUGGCUUACCAAGGCUAUGAUCUAUAGCUGGUCUGAGAGGACGAUCAGCCACACUGGAACUGAGAUACGGUCCAGACUCCUACGGGAGGCAGCAGUGGGGAAUAUUGGACAAUGGGCGAAAGCCUGAUCCAGCUAUGCCGCGUGAGUGAAGAAGGCCUUCGGGUU
Molecule: ribosomal RNA, 310 nt
Filed under: Ehrlichia canis
Lineage: Bacteria; Pseudomonadati; Pseudomonadota; Alphaproteobacteria; Rickettsiales; Anaplasmataceae
Description: bacterial SSU rRNA
Rfam family: Bacterial small subunit ribosomal RNA
Source: RNAcentral